Molecule: ribosomal RNA, 269 nt
Filed under: uncultured Planctomycetales bacterium
Lineage: Bacteria; Pseudomonadati; Planctomycetota; Planctomycetia; Planctomycetales
Description: partial 16S ribosomal RNA
Rfam family: Bacterial small subunit ribosomal RNA
Source: RNAcentral
GAGCACGUAGGUGGGUUUGUAAGUCAGAUGUGAAAGCCUUCUGUUCAACGGAAGAAUUGCAUCUGAAACUGCGAGUCUUGAGUGUAGGAGGGGAGAAUGGAACUUCUGGUGGAGCGGUGAAAUGCGUAGAUAUCAGAAGGAACGCCGGCGGCGAAAGCGAUUCUCUGGCCUAUUACUGACACUCAGUGUGCGAAAGCUAGGGGAGCAAACGGGAUUAGAUACCCCGGUAGCCCUAGCCGUAAACGAUGGGCACUAAGUAGAGGGGUUUU